CCUACGGGAGGCAGCAGUGAGGAAUCUUGGUCAAUGGACGGAAGUCUGAACCAGCCAUGCCGCGUGCAGGAAGACGGCUCUAUGAGUUGUAAACUGCUUUUGUACAAGGGUAAACCUGAAUACGUGUAUUCAGCUGAACGUCCUUUACGAAUAAGGAUCGGCUAACUCCGUGCCAGCCGCCGCGGUAAUACGGAGGAUCCAAGCGUUAUCCGGAUUUAUUGGGUUUAAAGGGUGCGUAGGCGGAUUGAUAAGUUAGAGGUGCAAUGUCCGAGCUUAACUCGGGAACUGCCUCUAAUACUGUUGAUCUAGAGAGUAGAUGCGGUAGGCGGAAUGUAUGGUGUAGCGGUGAAAUGCUUAGAGAUCAUACAGAACACCGAUUGCGAAGGCAGCUUAGCAAUCUAUAUCUGACGUUGAGGCACGAAAGCGGGGGGAGCAAACAGGAUUAGAUACCCCUGUAGUC
This 460-nucleotide ribosomal RNA is filed under the name uncultured bacterium. RNAcentral describes it as "partial 16S ribosomal RNA". It matches the Rfam family "Bacterial small subunit ribosomal RNA", at positions 338 to 795 of the family's 1533-position model. The record is from RNAcentral.